GGGUCGGUAGCACAAUGGCAGGUGCACCUCUACGGCAUGGAGGAGAAGUCGGUUCGAUUCCGGCCCGACCCA
This is a transfer RNA of 72 nucleotides. It matches the Rfam family "tRNA". From Rfam's summary of the family: Transfer RNA (tRNA) molecules are approximately 80 nucleotides in length. Their secondary structure includes four short double-helical elements and three loops (D, anti-codon, and T loops). Further hydrogen bonds mediate the characteristic L-shaped molecular structure. tRNAs have two regions of fundamental functional importance: the anti-codon, which is responsible for specific mRNA codon recognition, and the 3' end, to which the tRNAs corresponding amino acid is attached (by aminoacyl-tRNA synthetases). tRNAs cope with the degeneracy of the genetic code in two manners: having more than one tRNA (with a specific anti-codon) for a particular amino acid; and 'wobble' base-pairing, i.e. permitting non-standard base-pairing at the 3rd anti-codon position. The record is from Rfam.